GCGUCAUUGUCAAACCUCAAGCCUAGCUUGGUAUUGGGCUUUUCAUCCCUAGGGAUGAGCCUAAAAGUUAGUGGCGGUGCCACCGAGCCUCAAGCGUAGCAGAAAUACCUCGCUUUGGAGUAUCGGUUUUGGUCACUAGCCUUAAACCCCAACUUCUAAAGUUUGACCUCGGAUCAGGUAGGGAUACCCGCUGAACUUAA
Molecule: unclassified non-coding RNA, 200 nt
Filed under: soil metagenome
Description: partial contains internal transcribed spacer 2 and large subunit ribosomal RNA
Source: RNAcentral